GAUGAAGAACGUAGCGAAAUGCGAUAAGUAAUGUGAAUUGCAGAAUUCAGUGAAUCAUCGAAUCUUUGAACGCACAUUGCGCCCGCCAGUAUUCUGGCGGGCAUGCCUGUUCGAGCGUCAUUUCAACCAUCAAGCCCCCGGGCUUGUGUUGGAGCCCUGCGGCUGCCGCAGCCUCCCAAAACCAGUGGCGGGCUCGCUAUCACACCGAGUGCAGUAGUUUACUCUUCGCUCAGGGCGUGUGGCGGGUGCUAGCCGUGAAACCCCCAACUUCUCAAGGUUGACCUCGGAUCAGGUAGGAAUACCCGCUGAAAUUAAGCAUAUCAAUAAGCGGAGGA
This 335-nucleotide unclassified non-coding RNA is filed under the name soil metagenome. RNAcentral describes it as "partial contains 5.8S ribosomal RNA, internal transcribed spacer 2, and large subunit ribosomal RNA". The stretch from base 1 to 120 matches the Rfam family "5.8S ribosomal RNA", at positions 35 to 154 of the family's 154-position model. The record is from RNAcentral.